This 237-nucleotide ribosomal RNA is filed under the name uncultured bacterium. RNAcentral describes it as "partial 16S ribosomal RNA". It matches the Rfam family "Bacterial small subunit ribosomal RNA", at positions 99 to 334 of the family's 1533-position model. The record is from RNAcentral.
CGAACGGGUGAGUAACGCGUGAGGAACCUGCCUCAAAGAGGGGGACAACAGUUGGAAACGACUGCUAAUACCGCAUAAGCCCACAGGUCGGCAUCGACCAGAGGGAAAAGGAGCAAUCCGCUUUGAGAUGGCCUCGCGUCCGAUUAGCUAGUUGGUGAGGUAAUGGCCCACCAAGGCAACGAUCGGUAGCCGGACUGAGAGGUUGAACGGCCACGUUGGGACUGAGACACGGCCCAG